This is a long non-coding RNA of Erinaceus europaeus (western European hedgehog), 690 nucleotides long. RefSeq lists it as uncharacterized. Lineage: Eukaryota; Metazoa; Chordata; Mammalia; Eulipotyphla; Erinaceidae. The transcript has 3 exons. The record is from RefSeq and is a predicted model, not a curated record.
CGUCUCUCCAACAGGGACCCUGGUGCGGCUGUGGACCUGGGCAAGCCUGGGCCUCCGAGGUAUCCCUGACUCAGUCUAGGGGCCUGCGGGCAUACAUGCGUGUGUGCCCACCGGCGAGCGCACCGUGCCGGUGUCUGUAGGCUGGGGAGCAACAGGUGUAAAAGUGAAGAAGUGAAGGUGGCUAGGAGGUGGUGCACCCAGUUAAGCACAUAUAUUUCUAUGUGAAAGGACCCGGUUCAAGCCUCAACUCAACUACAGGAAGGACAUUUCACAAGCAGUAAAGCAGGUUCCAGAUGCUAGCAUGAUGCCAACCAGACCUCCCUGGACAGACAGCCCCACCAAUGUAUCCUGGAGCUCCAUUUCCCCAAAGCCCUUCCCCACUAGGAAAAGAGAGAGACAGGCUGGGAGACCUGUCAACGUCCAUGUUUAGCAGGGAAGCGAUUAUAGAAGCCAGACCUUCCACCUUCUACAUCCCACAAUGAUCUUCGGUCCAUACUCCCAGAGGGUUAAAGAAUAGGAAAACUAUCGGAGGAGGGGAUGGGAUACAGAGUUCUAGUGGUGGGAAUUGUGUGAAGUUGUACCCCUCUUAUCGUAUGGUUUAGUCAAUGUUUCCUUUUUAUAAAUACACAUUUUUUUUUAAAAGAGAAAAAUGGCCUCUGGGAGUGGUCGAUUCAUAGUGCUGGCACUGAA